This 313-nucleotide long non-coding RNA is filed under the name Phoenix dactylifera (date palm). RNAcentral describes it as "long non-coding RNA (PDAC_LNC003015)". The record is from RNAcentral. Lineage: Eukaryota; Viridiplantae; Streptophyta; Magnoliopsida; Arecales; Arecaceae.
ACGUCAGGGCUUGAACGGAGGGAGUAUGUGAGGACCCGUACGGGUAUGCGUUUAGUUCCACAUCGGUUAUUCGCUUGGUAGAUCUUAGGUACUUAUACAGAAUCAAGAAACCUAAAUAAUACCUUCCGGCUAACCAUUUUGGGUGAGGUCUUAGGUUGUUACCAAUGGUAUCAGAGCGGACUUGGCUCAUAACCUAUGUGGAUUAGGGGACACUGUAGCAUGGAUUUAUUAGGGAUGACCACGGGCCGAUCGUGGUGUUUGUGAUUAAAUUUGAAUAGAUUUGAACCCUUAGUCUGACGAGGACGUUAGGGCU